RNAcentral lists this ribosomal RNA (253 nucleotides) under uncultured bacterium. Its description in RNAcentral is "partial 16S ribosomal RNA". It matches the Rfam family "Bacterial small subunit ribosomal RNA", at positions 524 to 776 of the family's 1533-position model. The record is from RNAcentral.
UACAGAGGGGGCAAGCGUUGUUCGGGAUUACUGGGCGUAAAGGGCGCGUAGGUGGCCUUCUAAGUUGAACGUGAAAUCCCUGGGCUCAACCCAGGAACUGCGUCCAAGACUGGGAGGCUUGAAUCCGGGAGAGGGAUGCGGAAUUCCAGGUGUAGCGGUGAAAUGCGUAGAUAUCUGGAGGAACACCGGUGGCGAAGGCGGCAUCCUGGACCGGUAUUGACACUGAGGCGCGAAAGCCAGGGGAGCAAACGGG